GACGAACGCUGGCGGCGUGCUUAUCACAUGCAAGUCGAGCGGUAAGGCCCUUUCGGGGGUACACGAGCGGCGAACGGGUGAGUAACACGUGGGUGACCUGCCCUCAGCUCUGGGAUAAGCCCGGGAAACUGGGUCUAAUACCGGAUAUGACUCCAUGACGCAUGUUGUGGGGUGGAAAGCCUUGUGCGGCUGAGGAUGGGCCCGCGGCCUAUCAGCUUGUUGGUGGGGUGANGGCCUACCAAGGCGACGACGGGUAGCCGGCCUGAGAGGGCGACCGGCCACACUGGGACUGAGAUACGGCCCAGACUCCUACGGGAGGCAGCAGUGGGGAAUCUUGCGCAAUGGGCGAAAGCCUGACGCAGCGACGCCGCGUGAGGGAUGACGGCCU
Molecule: ribosomal RNA, 388 nt
Filed under: uncultured bacterium
Lineage: Bacteria
Description: bacterial SSU rRNA
Rfam family: Bacterial small subunit ribosomal RNA
Source: RNAcentral